Molecule: non-coding RNA, 198 nt
Organism: Vicia faba (fava bean)
Lineage: Eukaryota; Viridiplantae; Streptophyta; Magnoliopsida; Fabales; Fabaceae
Source: the annotation of a GenBank genome assembly
AUGGGACCUAUUCCGGUUACAAUUCAAGGAAAAGUACGAAUUUAUGUGGAAUCAUUAGAUUACUUCAAGUUUCUAUUUAAGGCCAGGGUUUCAUACAAAGCCCAAAACAUUCAAAGUCCUCAUUUCCAAAUCAAAGGAAAAAUUGAGGCGUACAAAGAUUACUUCUGUUACAAAGCCUUAAAGGCUAUGAUAGUUUAG